This 524-nucleotide ribosomal RNA is filed under the name uncultured bacterium. RNAcentral describes it as "partial 16S ribosomal RNA". It matches the Rfam family "Bacterial small subunit ribosomal RNA", at positions 28 to 523 of the family's 1533-position model. The record is from RNAcentral.
GACGAACGCUGGCGGCGUGCUUAACACAUGCAAGUCGAACGAGACGAUUGAAAGCUUGCUUUUAAAAGUCGAGUGGCAAACGGGUGAGUAACGCGUAGACAACCUGCCUUUGAGAUGGGGACAACAGUUCGAAAGGACUGCUAAUACCGAAUGUUGUAUAUUUUCCACAUGGAAGAUAUAUUAAAGAUGGCCUCUAUUUAUAAGCUAUCGCUCAAAGAUGGGUCUGCGUCUGAUUAGCUAGUUGGUGGGGCAACGGCCUACCAAGGCGACGAUCAGUAGCCGGUCUGAGAGGAUGAACGGCCACAUUGGGACUGAGACACGGCCCAGACUCCUACGGGAGGCAGCAGUGGGGAAUCUUCCACAAUGGACGAAAGUCUGAUGGAGCAACGCCGCGUGAGUGAAGAAGGGUUUCGGCUCGUAAAGCUCUGUUGUCGGGGACGAAUGUGCAGUAUUUGAAUAAAGUACUGCAAUGACGGUACCUGACGAGGAAGCCACGGCUAACUACGUGCCAGCCGCCGCGGUAA